Molecule: ribosomal RNA, 220 nt
Filed under: uncultured bacterium
Lineage: Bacteria
Description: partial 16S ribosomal RNA
Rfam family: Bacterial small subunit ribosomal RNA
Source: RNAcentral
GAUCAUGGCUCAGGAUGAACGCUGGCGGCGUGCUUAACACAUGCAAGUCGAACGAAGCACCUUGAUUUGAUUCUUCGGAUGAAGAUCUUGGUGACUGAGUGGCGGACGGGUGAGUAACGCGUGGGUAACCUGCCUCAUACAGGGGGAUAGCAGUUGGAAACGACUGGUAAAACCGCAUAAGCGCACGGUAUCGCAUGAUACAGUGUGAAAACACUCCGGU